This 1554-nucleotide ribosomal RNA is filed under the name Salmonella enterica subsp. enterica serovar Anatum. Its description in RNAcentral is "bacterial SSU rRNA". It matches the Rfam family "Bacterial small subunit ribosomal RNA". RNAcentral also lists the same sequence under 2 other names. The record is from RNAcentral. Lineage: Bacteria; Pseudomonadati; Pseudomonadota; Gammaproteobacteria; Enterobacterales; Enterobacteriaceae.
AAAUUGAAGAGUUUGAUCAUGGCUCAGAUUGAACGCUGGCGGCAGGCCUAACACAUGCAAGUCGAACGGUAACAGGAAGCAGCUUGCUGCUUUGCUGACGAGUGGCGGACGGGUGAGUAAUGUCUGGGAAACUGCCUGAUGGAGGGGGAUAACUACUGGAAACGGUGGCUAAUACCGCAUAACGUCGCAAGACCAAAGAGGGGGACCUUCGGGCCUCUUGCCAUCAGAUGUGCCCAGAUGGGAUUAGCUAGUUGGUGAGGUAACGGCUCACCAAGGCGACGAUCCCUAGCUGGUCUGAGAGGAUGACCAGCCACACUGGAACUGAGACACGGUCCAGACUCCUACGGGAGGCAGCAGUGGGGAAUAUUGCACAAUGGGCGCAAGCCUGAUGCAGCCAUGCCGCGUGUAUGAAGAAGGCCUUCGGGUUGUAAAGUACUUUCAGCGGGGAGGAAGGUGUUGUGGUUAAUAACCGCAGCAAUUGACGUUACCCGCAGAAGAAGCACCGGCUAACUCCGUGCCAGCAGCCGCGGUAAUACGGAGGGUGCAAGCGUUAAUCGGAAUUACUGGGCGUAAAGCGCACGCAGGCGGUCUGUCAAGUCGGAUGUGAAAUCCCCGGGCUCAACCUGGGAACUGCAUUCGAAACUGGCAGGCUUGAGUCUUGUAGAGGGGGGUAGAAUUCCAGGUGUAGCGGUGAAAUGCGUAGAGAUCUGGAGGAAUACCGGUGGCGAAGGCGGCCCCCUGGACAAAGACUGACGCUCAGGUGCGAAAGCGUGGGGAGCAAACAGGAUUAGAUACCCUGGUAGUCCACGCCGUAAACGAUGUCUACUUGGAGGUUGUGCCCUUGAGGCGUGGCUUCCGGAGCUAACGCGUUAAGUAGACCGCCUGGGGAGUACGGCCGCAAGGUUAAAACUCAAAUGAAUUGACGGGGGCCCGCACAAGCGGUGGAGCAUGUGGUUUAAUUCGAUGCAACGCGAAGAACCUUACCUGGUCUUGACAUCCACAGAACUUUCCAGAGAUGGAUUGGUGCCUUCGGGAACUGUGAGACAGGUGCUGCAUGGCUGUCGUCAGCUCGUGUUGUGAAAUGUUGGGUUAAGUCCCGCAACGAGCGCAACCCUUAUCCUUUGUUGCCAGCGGUUAGGCCGGGAACUCAAAGGAGACUGCCAGUGAUAAACUGGAGGAAGGUGGGGAUGACGUCAAGUCAUCAUGGCCCUUACGACCAGGGCUACACACGUGCUACAAUGGCGCAUACAAAGAGAAGCGACCUCGCGAGAGCAAGCGGACCUCAUAAAGUGCGUCGUAGUCCGGAUUGGAGUCUGCAACUCGACUCCAUGAAGUCGGAAUCGCUAGUAAUCGUGGAUCAGAAUGCCACGGUGAAUACGUUCCCGGGCCUUGUACACACCGCCCGUCACACCAUGGGAGUGGGUUGCAAAAGAAGUAGGUAGCUUAACCUUCGGGAGGGCGCUUACCACUUUGUGAUUCAUGACUGGGGUGAAGUCGUAACAAGGUAACCGUAGGGGAACCUGCGGUUGGAUCACCUCCUUACCUUAAAGAAGC